CUGGCUGGGGAAAAUGAUUGGA
RNAcentral lists this microRNA (22 nucleotides) under Cricetulus griseus (Chinese hamster). RNAcentral's name for it is "cgr-miR-664-5p". Its record names the gene cgr-miR-664-5p. The record is from miRBase by way of RNAcentral. Lineage: Eukaryota; Metazoa; Chordata; Mammalia; Rodentia; Cricetidae.